CAGAGCCGAAGAGCCAGGCGCAGCCCCGGGGGAACCGAGAGCAGCAGGCCUUGUCCUCAGUUGUUCCGUGUCUCUUCUCUGAGUUCCUUCCUGUUCCCUCUGCCCUUUCAGGCUCUUCAUAAGCCCAGCUCGAGGAAAAGGACUGAUUUAACCACUUACAGCUCGUUGUGACUUGAGGUCAAUAGGCAGCCUUUUUCUGGAGAAUUUGCGUUUUGGGGCCUCAUUUGUGAUUCGGGAACAAAAGACUCCAUGGAAAGUCUAAUGAGCUCUAUCCUGCCCCUUCAGAGUAUCCAUUAUUAUUUUUUCAAUUUUUUUUUAUUAAUCAAUGAAUUUUAUUACAUUUAUAGUUGUACAACAACAUUUUAUAGCUGUACCUGUGACAUAGGGAAACUCCCAGGCCAGGGGUUAAAUCCAGUCACAGGUUCUGACCUAGGCAGCUGAGGCAGCUCUGAAUCCUUUAACCCACUGCGCUGUGCCCGGGAUCAAACCUGCGCCUCCAGAGCAGGUUUGCGGCAGCUCAUCUGUCUGUCUGUCUGUCUGUCUAUAUAUCUAUCAUCUAUCCAUCUAUCUAUCCAUCUAUCUAUCUAUCUAUCUAUCCAUCCAAUUGAAGUAUGGUUGAGCCACAGUUAGUUUAGCUAAUAUAAGCUAAGUCACAUUAGCUUCAGGUGACAGGUUACGAUUUUUUUUUUUUUACUUUUUAGGGCCACACUUGGGGCAUAUGGAGGUUCCCAGGCUAGGGGUCCAAUCAGAGCUACAGCUGCUGACCUACACCACAGCCACAGCAACAUCAGAUCCAAGCUGUGUCUGUGACCCACACCAUAGCUCACGGAAAGGCCAAGCCUUAACCUACUGAGUGAGGCCAGGGAUCGAACCUGCAACCCCAUGGUUCCUAGUCGGACUCAUUUCCGCUGCUUCAUGAUGGGAAUUCCCAGGUUAGGUAUUUUAAUGAGGACAUUGUAUUCGUUUGCUAGCACUGCCAGAAUCAGUACUACCGACAGAGUGGUUUAAACAAUAGAAAUUUAUUCCUCACGGUUCUGGAGGCUAGAAGUCCAAGACCAAGGCAUUGGCGGGCUUGGUUUUCUCAAGGCCGUCUUCUCCCUGAGUCUUCACGUGCCUUCUCUUCUGCGCCCGUGCCCGUCCUGGUCCUCUCUUCUCUAAUCAUAUUGUGUUGGGAGAAUACACAUCCAUCCACACGACCUCCUGUUACGGGAGUUACCUCUGUAAAGGCUCUGUCUCUAGAUACAGUCCCACGCCGAGGUACUGGGGUUAGGACUCCACAGUGUGAAUUUGGGGGAGCACAAUUCAACCCACAACAGUCACCCAGCCGAGUGAAAGGCAGCAUAGCCCAGGGAUUCAAUAUCCUCUAUUAAGAGUCAGGAAGACUGAGGUGAGAAAUUUUGACUUUAUAAUUCCUUGGAAGUGUUAUUUAAUUUUUUGGAACCUUAGUUGCUUCCUCCGUUAAAUGGAAAUAAAAAUCAUUACCGUGGCUCCGAGGAAACAAAUCCAACUAGUAUCCAUGAGGAUACAGGUUCGAUCUCUGUAUCCUCACUCAGUGGGUUAAGGAUCCGGUGUUGCCGUGAGCUGUGGUGUAGGUUUCAGAUGCAGCUCAGAGCUGGCAUUGCUGAGACUGUGAUGUAGGCUGGCAGCUACAGCUCCGAUUCUACCCCUAGGGUGGGAACUUCCAUAUGAAACAGGUGCCACCCUAAAAAGACACACACACACACACACACACACAAGUCAUUACGGCGCUAGCCCUAUUCAGUGAGGUGAUGUGUGCAGCACGGACUGAAAGGACAGGUAAAUGCUAGACAACUGCCCGUGCUAGCAGCUGUUGUGGCUUCUGUUGAUAUCAUUGUUCCUGGUGUUAUUACCACUUUCUUUUUCUAAAAAAUGGGGCUAAGAAAAUGCCCACUUAGAGUUGUUGUGAGAAUGGCAUGCAAUGACGCAUGGCCAAAAAGCUUGUACUGCGCCUGCCACAGAGCAAGAGCUCAGAAAAAGGGAGCUGUGCCAUCGCCUUCAUGGGACAAGAGCCCAGUUUUCCAGGCGCUAUGUCUUCCUUUUAUCUCACUGAAUAGGAUCUGAUGUAGCCAAACUGUGUCUAUAUUUAAUAAAAUGCAAAUUUCCUCGUCAGGGAAGUUUUAACCAGAAAAUCCACCGAUUUUAUGCAGGAGCUCAUAUUUUAGUUAUUAAGACCUGGAAUGAUAUUUUAGUUAUUGAAACACAGGAGAAUGCACACCUUAUAAAAUGAUUCAGCUAAAGGGAGGUGGGAUCUGUGUUUUGAAUAAAUAGUAAAGAAGAGCUCAGGUUCAAGGUGGGUGAUUAAUCGUUUGAUACCUUGUCAGCCUUUGACAAGUUCUCCCUCUAUUUUUUUUUUUAAAUGCUUCUCACCAUGUCUUGUGUAAUUAAGAAAUGGUGCUGGGUUCUUGUCAUCCACCAUUAAGGACUAGUCAUAGAUAGUUUCAUAACAUCUGCUUCUUGCAACCUUCUAAUUAUCCAUAAAAAUCUGGCAGAAGGACUUGACAGUUUAUUCAGAAAGCAGAAUCUGAAUACAAAAUAGGAUGCUUUGCUUCUCGAUGCAGAGUGCUGUAGAACAGGUCCUCUCUAACCUCUUAUUUUGCAUGCAGCUCUGUUGCCCGCACAAAUCAGAUCUGGGUGCAUGUCUCCUCCAUAAAGACUCAAUUUUGAAAAGCAUCUUUUGACAAAAUGAAUGUGGGUCAGGAAUAUGUUAAUGGCGCUGUGUCAGAAUCUGCUGUCAGUCGCUGCCCUAAUAUUCUCUUUGCAAUCCAGCCAGAUGCUGUUACUUCUGUUAUUUCCCUGCCCUCAUCUCAGGCUUUGAGCUGUCUCUGCCUGAUAGGAAGCAGAGGGACUCUUGAGUCCAGACACUUGCCUCUAGCAAGGUCAGCUCUUAGCCUCCAGUUGCUCGUUUCCAGUAGUGAGUGUGUUUCUUGCCCACAAACCUGUCUGGAUUUCCAACUCAAUGUGGGAAAUGCCUCUUCCUGAAUCCCUCCUUUCUGUGUGUUUGGUCUUUGGAGCUACUGCUGAUUGUUGGUCACCAUGUCUUCCCUCUGCUCACGUGUCCCUCCAACAUCCAUUUGGACCAGUGGGUGAUUUGCCCUUUGGAAUGCACAGAGGGCUCUCUGCCCAUUGGGUUUUAGACUCCUAGUUUGUUGAGGCCUCUGGGUUUUUUGUGUUUCUAAUCUCCUCUGGCUGUGACCUCACAGUCUUGCCUCAGCUCUCCUGGUCCUGCUGUCUUUCAUUCUCUGUGUCCUACUACCAGUGAGAAGUAAAAUAAUAAUACUAAUACUAAUACUAUUCCUAUUUCUCAUUAACUGAGUGCUUUUUGUACUACAAUGACCUUCAGAGAUAAGGAACAUGAUUUGCUUUGUAAUUUUUUUUUUGUCCGAUAAAGGGCAGAUAGUUUUAUUAAACCUGCAGACCCUGGAUUGGAACCCAAGUCUGUCCUGCUUCAGCCUGAGUUCUUGGCACCCAGUCAGUGACCUCAUGAGGCAGCACAUUACAGCUCAGAACUGUCACUUCUCUGUGGUAUUCACUCCUCCAGUAAACACUGAGAAAGUAGCUAAAUGUAACAUUUUACAAAUAUAUAUGAGAUUAAAUAUUUAAUUUUUGAAUUUUAUCAGCUCUGUGGUUCCCAUUUUACAAAAAACUAAAUGGAGGCAUGGGGUUUCGGUGUGUUGAAAAGUCCACAUGUCAGCAAGGGAGCAGAAGGUUCUUAGCAAGGCACUAGAGUGGCUUUUUGAAAGUAGCCCUCCUCUGUGUAUGAGGUGGGGUGAGGAGGAAGUCAGUUCAAGGUCUGGUCCAGAAUCUUGAUCUCUGGUACAUUACCUGACUUCUCUCUCCCUUCAUCUUAAAAAUUGCUAAGUUUAGCUUUGAGUUUUCUGGCAGCCAAAGUCGACUCAUGGCUCCCAGUUCCAGAGGAGUGGUCACAAAACAAGAUAACUGAGGUUUCGCCCCAUCAUAGUUCCUGGUUCACAAAGAUUUUAUUCAUAGUAAUCCACCUUAUCCACUAAGCAUUGGGGAUACUCUUACUCAACUGAUGUGAUGUCUCUGAGUUGGGAUCGCCUGAGCCAGUCUCAUGUCCAGAAAAGAUCCCACCUUCCUCAUCACAUGUCAGAAUCUGAGCUGCCAUGAGAAGCCCCGACCACCAUCCUGCCCUCUGCGACUCUUGCAUCUCCCUGGAGUGGCAAAGAUUCCAGGGACUUGAAAGAAAAACCAGAGGCAAAUGAGCAAAGGAAAGCUGAGAUGUGGGUCUUGGCCCUGUGCUGAACCGAGAGGCGUGGGGUGGGGAGGCUUGGCUUUGAAUCUCGAGCCCUCUAGUUCUUGGCUGUCCAGUGUGGAAGCCUGCCCCAGGCAGUGUCACCUGGAAGCUAGUUAAUAAAGGUGCACCCUCUCAGGCCCCACCGCACACCUGCUGGAGCAUUUUGACAAGAUUCCCAGGUGACUUGUGUGCACAUUCAAGUCAAAGGAGCACUGCUGGCUUAUGAAUCCAUAGCAAUAUUUAACAUUCACCUCCAAAGGGCGACACAUGUUAUACAGAGGCCCUUUGGAGGGGCCCGGGAAACUUGCUGCUGUCACUGAGAAAGGAAGGACUCUGGACCUAAGUGCUGUAGAUAUAAUGCAAUUCGGGUAAAAGGCAGAGCCAAGGGGGCUGGGGCUUUGGGCGAGGAUAUUCCUUUGGGUUGCUGCGCUAUGUGCCACAAUGGCGUGGUACUGAAACAUAAGUCAUGUGGUUCAGUUACAGACAGGGACACUGUUCCAGCCUCUCCUUAGAAAGCAAAUGGUCUGGGGUAAGGUGAUGCGACAAAGGGAAACCGUUCUGUAAACCUUUCUGCUUUUCCUGUGGUCUCUUUGUCCCGCUGCAGAGAGAACCUCCUGGUGCUGGCACCUACCAGGUAAGGGGUCUCUAGCCCGGACCCUCUACCUUGAGAGGCCCUGGGUGCUCUGGGAGUGGGUGGUGAUUGGAGAGCCAGGUGGCUGGUGGGGCUGAGUGGUAUAAUAGCCCUGUGUCCAUCUCUGAAAACCCUUGGGGCACGAGCUCCAGCUGGGGGCAUAGCAUGCCCGCUGUCAGAGCUGCAAGCUCUUUAAUGGGACUUCGAGUCCAGGCGUCAGAAUGAAGGUGCGCUUCAAACUUUAGCCUCUGGCUUCAGGAUACUGAGCUCAGAGCUAUUGCUGCCCCCUUGGUGAUGACCUGUUUGCUAUUUCUCAAUUUCUUUCUUGAUUCAUUUCUUAAAUGUUCUACUUUUUUUGGGAGCUCAAAAAAAAUUUUUUUAUUAGCUCUUCACCAGUUUUUAUCUUUUCAAAAUUUUAAAAAUUAAAGUAUAGUUGAUUUACAAUGUUCCGCCAAUUUCUGCUGUACAGAAAAGUGACCCAGUCAUAUAUACAUAUAUAUUCUUUUUCUCAUGUUAUCUUCCAUCAUGUUCUAUCAUAAGUGAUUGGAUACAGUUCCUGGCGCUGUGGAGCAGGGCCUCAUUGCUUAUCAUUCUAAAUGUAAUAGUUUGCAUCUACUAACCCCAGACUCCCCAUCCAUCCCACCCCCUCCCCGUCCCCUUGGCAACCACAAGUCUGAUCUCCAUGUGUGUGAGUCUGUUUCUGUUCUGUAGGUAUGUUCAUUUGUACCAUAUUUGUUUGUUUAUUUAUUUAGCCAUUUCUUGGGCUGCUCUUGCGGCAUACGGAGGUUCCCAGGCUAGGGGUCAAAUCGGAGCUGUAGCCACUGGCCUUUGCCAGAGCCACAGCAACGUGGGAUCCGAGCCACGUCUGUGACCUACACCACAGCUCACAGCAAUGCCGGAUCCUUAACCCAGGGAGCAAGGCCAGGGAUUGAACCCGCAACCUCAUAGUUCCUAGUCGGAUUCGUUAACCACUGCGCCACGACGGGAACUCCUUUUUGUACCAUAUUUAGAUUCCACAUAGAAGUGAUAGCAUAUGGUGUUUGUCUUUCUCUUUCUGACUUACUUUGCUCAGUAUGAGAAUCUCUAGUUGCAUCCAUGUUGCUGCAAAUGGCAUUAUUUUGUGUUUUUUUUGUGGCUGAGUAGUAUUCCAUUGUGUAUAUGCCCUUUUAUCAUGAAGUAGUUACCUUCUUUAUCUUUCUUUAUGGCCUUUGUUUUAAAGUCUAUUUUGUCUGAUAUGAGUAUUGCAACUCCUGCUUUCCUGUCUUUUCCAUUGGCAUGAAAUAUCUUUUCCCAUCCCCUCACUUUCAAUUCAUAUGUCUCCUUUGCCCUAAGGUGAGUCUCUUGUAGGCAACAUAUUGUGGGCUUUUUUUUUUUUUAUCCAGUCUGCCACCCUACAGCUUUAGAUUGGAGCAUUCGGUCCAUUGACAUUUAAGAUAAUUAUUGAUAAAUAUGUAUUUAUUGCCAUUUUAAACCUUGUUUUCCAGUUGAUUCUCCUUUGUUCCUUUAUCUAUUUAUUUAUUUUGGUCAGAUGUGUUCGUUUAAUUUUACGCUGUGUCCUCUUCUUUCUGGUUUUUGUGAAUGUAUUGUUUGGUUUGGCUUUAUGGUUGCCCUGUUUUUCGAGUAUGUUAAGCCCUUCCUAUAGUUGCUUGCUGUAGCCUAAUAGACAUAUAGACUCAAGCACAUUCUUAAAAAAAAAAAAAA
Molecule: long non-coding RNA, 6608 nt
Filed under: Sus scrofa (pig)
Lineage: Eukaryota; Metazoa; Chordata; Mammalia; Artiodactyla; Suidae
Description: lncRNA (ENSSSCG00060077163.1)
Source: RNAcentral